This 251-nucleotide ribosomal RNA is filed under the name uncultured bacterium. RNAcentral's name for it is "partial 16S ribosomal RNA". It matches the Rfam family "Bacterial small subunit ribosomal RNA", at positions 524 to 776 of the family's 1533-position model. The record is from RNAcentral.
UACAGAGGAUGCAAGCGUUAUCCGGAAUGAUUGGGCGUAAAGCGUCUGUAGGUGGCUUUUUAAGUCCGCCGUCAAAUCCCAGGGCUCAACUCUGGACAGGCGGUGGAAACUACCAAGCUGGAGUACGGUAUGGGCAGAGGGAAUUUCCGGUGGAGCUGAAAUGCGUAGAGAUCGGAAAGAACACCAACGGCGAAAGCGCUCUGCUGGGCCGACACUGACACUGAGAGACGAAAGCUAGGGGAGCAAAUGGG